AUUGAACGCUGGCGGCAGGCUUAACACACGCAAGUCGAGCGGGGGAAGGUAGCUUGCUACCGGACCUAGCGGCGGACGGGUGAGUAAUGCUUAGGAAUCUGCCUAUUAGUGGGGGACAACAUAUCGAAAGGGAUGCUAAUACCGCAUACGUACUACGGGAGCAAGCAGGGGAUCUUCGGAACUUGCGCUAAUAGAUGAGCCUAAGUCGGAUUAGCUAGUUGGUGGGGUAAAGGCCUACCAAGGCGACGAUCUGUAGCGGGUCUGAGAGGAUGAUCCGCCACACUGGGACUGAGACACGGCCCAGACUCCUACGGGAGGCAGCAGUGGGGAAUAUUGGACAAUGGGGGGAACCCUGAUCCAGCCAUGCCGCGUGUGUGAAGAAGGCCUUAUGGUUGUAAAGCACUUUAAGCGAGGAGGAGGCUACUUUAGUUAAUACCUAGAGAUAGUGGACGUUACUCGCAGAAUAAGCACCGGCUAACUCUGUGCCAGCCGCCGCAGUAA
This 501-nucleotide ribosomal RNA is filed under the name uncultured bacterium. RNAcentral describes it as "partial 16S ribosomal RNA". It matches the Rfam family "Bacterial small subunit ribosomal RNA", at positions 30 to 523 of the family's 1533-position model. The record is from RNAcentral.